Molecule: ribosomal RNA, 1147 nt
Filed under: Bacillus sp. BAB-2584
Lineage: Bacteria; Bacillati; Bacillota; Bacilli; Caryophanales; Bacillaceae
Description: bacterial SSU rRNA
Rfam family: Bacterial small subunit ribosomal RNA
Source: RNAcentral
AGUUUGAUCCUGGCUCAGCAGGUCGCCGCAACUAAUACCUUUUGUUUCAGCUCCUCGCAUGAGGAACUGUCGAGAGGUGGCUUUUGGUUACCACUUACAGAUGGACCCGCGGCGCAUUAGCUAGUUGGUGAGGUAACGGCUCACCAAGGCAACGAUGCGUAGCCAACCUGAGAGGUUGAUCGGCCACACUGGGACUGAGACACGGCCCAGACUCACUACGGAAGGCAGCAGUAGGGAAUCUCCCGCAAUAGAACGAAAGGUCUGACGGAGCACCGCCGUCGUGAGUGAAGAAGGUUUUCCGGAUCCGUAAAACUCUAUCGUUAGGGAAGAACAGGUGCCGUUCGAAUAAGUGUCUGUCUACCUUGACGGUACAUAACCAGAAAGCCACGCGUUAGCUGACCGUGCCACCAGCCCGCGAUAAUACGGUAGGUGGCCAAGCGUUGUCCCGAAAUUUAUGGGGCCGUAAACGCGCGCCGCAGGGUGGUUUCUUUAAGUUCUGAUGUGAAAGGCCCAGCGCUCAACCCGGUGGAGGGUCAUUGGAAACUUGGGGGAACUUGAGUGCAGAAAGGAGGAAAGGUGAAAUUCCCAAGUGUAGCGGUGAAAUUGCUGUAAGAAUAUUUGGAAGGAACACACCAGUGGCCGAAAGCGACUUUUCCUGGUCGUGUAAUCUGGACCACUUGAGGGCCGCGAAAGCGGUGGGGGAAGCAAACCAGGAAUUAGAUUACGCCGUGGUAGUUCCACGGCCGUAAACGAAUGAGGUGCUAAGUGUUAGUAGGAGGGUUUCCCGCCCUUUUAGGUGCUGGCAGCUAACCGCAAUAAGCACCUCCCGCCCUGGGGGAGUACGGUCCGCAAGGACUGAAACUCCAAAAGAAUUGACCGGGGGCCCGCCCACAGCGGGUGGGACCAUGUGGUUUUAAUUCCGAAGCCAACCGCGAAGAACCUUACCAGGGGCUUUGACACUCCCUCUGGACCACCCCUAGAGAUAGGGCUUUCCCCUUCCGGGCACAAGAGUGCACAGGUGAUGCAUGGUUGUCGUCAGCUCGUGUCGUGAGAAUGUUGGAUUAAGGUCCCGCAACGAGCGCAACCCUUGAUCUUAGUUGCCAGCAUUCAGUUGGGCACUCUAAGAUGACUGCCGGUGACAAACCGG